GAUGAACGCUGGCGGCGUGCCUAAUACAUGCAAGUCGAGCGAACAGACGAGGAGCUUGCUCCUCUGACGUUAGCGGCGGACGGGUGAGUAACACGUGGAUAACCCACCUAUAAGACUGGGAUCACUUCGGGAAACCGGAGCUAAUACCGGAUAAUAUAUUGAACCGCAUGGUUCAAUAGUGAAAGACGGUUUUGCUGUCACUUAUAGAUGGAUCCGCGCCGCAUUAGCUAGUUGGUAAGGUAACGGCUUACCAAGGCAACGAUGCGUAGCCGACCUGAGAGGGUGAUCGGCCACACUGGAACUGAGACACGGUCCAGACUCCUACGGGAGGCAGCAGUAGGGAAUCUUCCGCAAUGGGCGAAAGCCUGACGGAGCAACGCCGCGUGAGUGAUGAAGGUGUUCGGAUCGUAAAACUCUGUUAUUAGGGAAGAACAAAUGUGUAAGUAGCUGUGCACGUCUUGACGGUACCUGAUCAAAAAGCCACGGCUAACUACGUG
This 497-nucleotide ribosomal RNA is filed under the name uncultured bacterium. Its description in RNAcentral is "partial 16S ribosomal RNA". It matches the Rfam family "Bacterial small subunit ribosomal RNA", at positions 28 to 507 of the family's 1533-position model. The record is from RNAcentral.